Molecule: ribosomal RNA, 253 nt
Filed under: uncultured bacterium
Lineage: Bacteria
Description: partial 16S ribosomal RNA
Rfam family: Bacterial small subunit ribosomal RNA
Source: RNAcentral
UACAGAGGGGGCAAGCGUUGUUCGGAAUUACUGGGCGUAAAGGGCGCGUAGGCGGCCUGUUAAGUCGAACGUGAAAUCCCCGGGCUCAACCCGGGAACUGCGUCCGAUACUGGCAGGCUUGAAUUCGGGAGAGGGAUGUGGAAUUCCAGGUGUAGCGGUGAAAUGCGUAGAUAUCAGGAGGAACACCAAUGGCGAAGGCAGCUCGCUGGGACGUGACUGACGCUGAGACGCGAAAGCGUGGGGAGCAAACAGG